GCCAUUUUGCGAGAUCUAGGUCUUAUUAGCCUGAAUCUGAGCUCUUCUGAGAGGUUGGAUUCGAACUCUUUUAUUUCUAUUCUAGCACCCUCUUGAGGUCAGCAUGGCAUUUUGGCGCUUUUGGCUAUUGUGUGAGAUCAAAGUCUCUUUACCUUAUGACUCGAGCUCCUUUGGGAGGUCGGAGUUUAGCUUUUUCAUUUAGG
Molecule: long non-coding RNA, 203 nt
Filed under: Manihot esculenta (cassava)
Lineage: Eukaryota; Viridiplantae; Streptophyta; Magnoliopsida; Malpighiales; Euphorbiaceae
Description: long non-coding RNA (MESC_LNC009508)
Source: RNAcentral